This is a non-coding RNA of Marasmius sp. AFHP31, 96 nucleotides long. The record is from the annotation of a GenBank genome assembly. NCBI's taxonomy places the organism in Eukaryota, Fungi, Basidiomycota, Agaricomycetes, Agaricales, Marasmiaceae.
UCCGUUAUGGUGUAGUGGCUAACAUUAUCGCCUCUCAUGAUCCCAGUGAAGCUGAUGUCAGCGCGAUAGCCCAGGGUUCGAUUCCCUGUAACGGAA